Molecule: long non-coding RNA, 392 nt
Organism: Pan troglodytes (chimpanzee)
Lineage: Eukaryota; Metazoa; Chordata; Mammalia; Primates; Hominidae
Exons: 2
Source: RefSeq, a predicted model, not a curated record
GUAGGACUUCUGACAUCAGGGCCAUAAGACCGCUUAAGAAUUGAUUUCCAGCCGGCCGUGGUGGCUCAUACCUGUAAUCACACUUCGGGAGGCUGAGAUGGGCAGAUCAUGAGGUCAGGAGUACGAGAUCAGCCUGGCCAAUAUGACCCCAACUCCAGCUCCCAGUUUGAAGACCCCCACAGAGGAACGGGAUCAGCAUGAUAACCCAGCUUCUUCAGCUCUCUGUCCCAUGACUUCACUCUGCACUCUUCAACCCGUCAGCCAUCUCCACACUUUGGCCCACUCCAAAACCCUUAAAAACCCUAGCCCCAAACUCCUCAGGGAAAUGGAUUUAAACAAGGGUCAUCUCCUUGUUUCAUGACCCUAUGAUUAAACCUGUUUGUCUGCUGCAA